This 821-nucleotide ribosomal RNA is filed under the name Pseudomonas fulva. RNAcentral describes it as "bacterial SSU rRNA". It matches the Rfam family "Bacterial small subunit ribosomal RNA", at positions 89 to 906 of the family's 1533-position model. Lineage: Bacteria; Pseudomonadati; Pseudomonadota; Gammaproteobacteria; Pseudomonadales; Pseudomonadaceae. The record is from RNAcentral.
GAUUCAGCGGCGGACGGGUGAGUAAUGCCUAGGAAUCUGCCUAUUAGUGGGGGACAACGUUUCGAAAGGAACGCUAAUACCGCAUACGUCCUACGGGAGAAAGCAGGGGACCUUCGGGCCUUGCGCUAAUAGAUGAGCCUAGGUCGGAUUAGCUAGUUGGUGAGGUAAUGGCUCACCAAGGCGACGAUCCGUAACUGGUCUGAGAGGAUGAUCAGUCACACUGGAACUGAGACACGGUCCAGACUCCUACGGGAGGCAGCAGUGGGGAAUAUUGGACAAUGGGCGAAAGCCUGAUCCAGCCAUGCCGCGUGUGUGAAGAAGGUCUUCGGAUUGUAAAGCACUUUAAGUUGGGAGGAAGGGCAGUAAGUUAAUACCUUGCUGUUUUGACGUUACCGACAGAAUAAGCACCGGCUAACUCUGUGCCAGCAGCCGCGGUAAUACAGAGGGUGCAAGCGUUAAUCGGAAUUACUGGGCGUAAAGCGCGCGUAGGUGGUUUGUUAAGUUGGAUGUGAAAGCCCCGGGCUCAACCUGGGAACUGCAUCCAAAACUGGCAAGCUAGAGUACGGUAGAGGGUGGUGGAAUUUCCUGUGUAGCGGUGAAAUGCGUAGAUAUAGGAAGGAACACCAGUGGCGAAGGCGACCACCUGGACUGAUACUGACACUGAGGUGCGAAAGCGUGGGGAGCAAACAGGAUUAGAUACCCUGGUAGUCCACGCCGUAAACGAUGUCAACUAGCCGUUGGAAUCCUUGAGAUUUUAGUGGCGCAGCUAACGCAUUAAGUUGACCGCCUGGGGAGUACGGCCGCAAGGUUAAAACUCAAAU